This 988-nucleotide long non-coding RNA is filed under the name Chinchilla lanigera (long-tailed chinchilla). Its description in RNAcentral is "lncRNA (ENSCLAG00000027908.1)". The record is from RNAcentral. Lineage: Eukaryota; Metazoa; Chordata; Mammalia; Rodentia; Chinchillidae.
GGAGAAAGAAGACGCAGGAUGAUAACGUUUAGGAGAGACACGAAGUCAUCGAAGCUCAACCGCUUUUGAAGGAUAGAACUAAAGUGAGAAAUGAAACCCUAUAAGGAGAAAAUGAAGGUGGCGUCAUGAAUUUGACAUCGCCUAAGGUGCUUAGGAAUGGUACAGAAGGCUCCUCCCUCCUGGGGUCACUGGGUGACACACGUGCUUCGGGGGCAACCCACCGCCCAGCAACACCUCUGCUGCCCCGCUGCUCUUUUCCCGGACUUCAAACUAAAGCACUGGAGCUCGUGCGGCCAGCUGUGCACCUCUGCUCCUGGGUGGGCCCCGAGGUCGGUCUUCGCUUCUCUCAUGAGGCGACUUAGGGAUGCCAGGGAGAGCUACACCACGGGAACCAGGGUCUUCACAAAGGCUAGACAGUCACCACCCUCGGGUCUCCUCCAAGUGUCCCCAGCUCUGAGUUCCACGAGUCAAUUCCUGCAUCUCCAUGAACUCCUCAGCCCCAGAACGAAUGCUCAUGUGAGGAUGAGAUGGAGAGAUACUGGCUUCUCUUACCAAAGGACACGAAAGCAUCUUGUGGCGAUUUCUUAGACACUUGUCUGCCUUCUGGAAGUGAAGUCUAUUCUUAUGGGGGCAGCCUCAAUGCUUCAGGCGACCUCUACACCCUCUGCUGCCAGCUGACUGCUCUCACCAGCUCCCGGAUGAUGUCCCCACGAGGAGCAGUCAUUGCCUGAUCUCACAGCCCUGAUGGUGUCCUCAGUCCUUUGAUCCCUGUGGCUCCUCUGACUGGGCCUCUGGCGCCUGCGCCACUGCUCCCUGUGGGCGUCAGGGCCUAAGGGCCAUGGGAGCUGCUGUACUUCCUGGGCCAGGAACUCCCCUGUUACCUGUCACACUGAGCCUGGCUACUCCUGAGCCGUGAACUGGCUGCUGAGCAAAGCCUAAGACUGAGGAACUGAGUAAAAAAAAUGGCUGGGAAAGAAGGCCAAGAAUG